RNAcentral lists this ribosomal RNA (199 nucleotides) under Bacillus amyloliquefaciens. Its description in RNAcentral is "partial 16S ribosomal RNA". It matches the Rfam family "Bacterial small subunit ribosomal RNA", at positions 1 to 196 of the family's 1533-position model. Lineage: Bacteria; Bacillati; Bacillota; Bacilli; Caryophanales; Bacillaceae. The record is from RNAcentral. RNAcentral also lists the same sequence under 2 other names.
UUAUCGGAGAGUUUGAUCCUGGCUCAGGACGAACGCUGGCGGCGUGCCUAAUACAUGCAAGUCGAGCGGACAGAUGGGAGCUUGCUCCCUGAUGUUAGCGGCGGACGGGUGAGUAACACGUGGGUAACCUGCCUGUAAGACUGGGAUAACUCCGGGAAACCGGGGCUAAUACCGGAUGCUUGUUUGAACCGCAUGGUUC